RNAcentral lists this ribosomal RNA (442 nucleotides) under uncultured bacterium. RNAcentral describes it as "partial 16S ribosomal RNA". It matches the Rfam family "Bacterial small subunit ribosomal RNA", at positions 338 to 795 of the family's 1533-position model. The record is from RNAcentral.
CCUACGGGUGGCAGCAGUGGGGAAUAUUGGGCAAUGGGCGCAAGCCUGACCCAGCAACGCCGCGUGAAGGAAGAAGGCUUUCGGGUUGUAAACUUCUUUUAAGAGGGAAGAGCAGAAGACGGUACCUCUUGAAUAAGCCACGGAUAACUACGUGCCAGCAGCCGCGGUAAUACGUAGGUGGCAAGCGUUGUCCGGAUUUAGUGGGUGUAAAGGGCGUGUAGCCGGGCUGACAAGUCAGAUGUUAAAUCCCGGGGAUCAACCACGGAACUGCAUUUGAAACUGGCGGUCUGGAGUAUCGGAGAGGCAGGCGGAAGUCCUAGUGUAGCGGUGAAAUGCGUAGAUAUUAGGAGGAACACCAGUGGCGAAGGCGGCCUGCUGGACGACAACUGACGGUGAGGCGCGAAAGCGUGGGGAGCAAACAGGAUUAGAUACCCGAGUAGUC